UAGCAGUGGCAUUGACACCUUUCAUCGUCGCCUUGGUGGUGGCAUUCAUACCUUUCAUAGUCGCCUUUGUGGUGGCAGCGGCCGCGUGGGCGGACGCCUUGGCCGUUGCUUUCGUCGCAGCUUUCGUAGUUUUUGCUGCCACUUUCGUUGCUGACUUGGCUGCGACAGCAGAAGUCUUGGCGGCCAUGGCAGAGGUUUUCGCGGCCACUUUUGUUGCCGUUGAGGUAAGCUUCAACGAUUUGAGCGCCGGAGCCACGACAGUUG
Seminavis robusta is the source of this 264-nucleotide non-coding RNA. The record is from the annotation of a GenBank genome assembly. Lineage: Eukaryota; Bacillariophyta; Bacillariophyceae; Naviculales; Naviculaceae.